GGGACACGUGGUAUCCUGUCUGAAUAUGGGGGGACCAUCCUCCAAGGCUAAAUACUCCUGACUGACCGAUAGUGAACCAGUACCGUGAGGGAAAGGCGAAAAGAACCCCGGCGAGGGGAGUGAAAAAGAACCUGAAACCGUGUACGUACAAGCAGUGGGAGCCUCUUUAUGGGGUGACUGCGUACCUUUUGUAUAAUGGGUCAGCGACUUAUAUUCUGUAGCAAGGUUAACCGAAUAGGGGAGCCGAAGGGAAACCGAGUCUUAACUGGGCGUUAAGUUGCAGGGUAUAGACCCGAAACCCGGUGAUCUAGCCAUGGGCAGGUUGAAGGUUGGGUAACACUAACUGGAGGACCGAACCGACUAAUGUUGAAAAAUUAGCGGAUGACUUGUGGCUGGGGGUGAAAGGCCAAUCAAACCGGGAGAUAGCUGGUUCUCCCCGAAAGCUAUUUAGGUAGCGCCUCGUGAAUUCAUCUCCGGGGGUAGAGCACUGUUUCGGCAAGGGGGUCAUCCCGACUUACCAACCCGAUGCAAACUGCGAAUACCGGAGAAUGUUAUCACGGGAGACACACGGCGGGUGCUAACGUCCGUCGUGAAGAGGGAAACAACCCAGACCGCCAGCUAAGGUCCCAAAGUCAUGGUUAAGUGGGAAACGAUGUGGGAAGGCCCAGACAGCCAGGAUGUUGGCUUAGAAGCAGCCAUCAUUUAAAGAAAGCGUAAUAGCUCACUGGUCGAGUCGGCCUGCGCGGAAGAUGUAACGGGGCUAAACCAUGCACCGAAGCUGCGGCAGCGACGCUUAUGCGUUGUUGGGUAGGGGAGCGUUCUGUAAGCCUGCGAAGGUGUACUGUGAGGUAUGCUGGAGGUAUCAGAAGUGCGAAUGCUGACAUAAGUAACGAUAAAGCGGGUGAAAAGCCCGCUCGCCGGAAGACCAAGGGUUCCUGUCCAACGUUAAUCGGGGCAGGGUGAGUCGACCCCUAAGGCGAGGCCGAAAGGCGUAGUCGAUGGGAAACAGGUUAAUAUUCCUGUACUUGGUGUUACUGCGAAGGGGGGACGGAGAAGGCUAUGUUGGCCGGGCGACGGUUGUCCCGGUUUAAGCGUGUAGGCUGGUUUUCCAGGCAAAUCCGGAAAAUCAAGGCUGAGGCGUGAUGACGAGGCACUACGGUGCUGAAGCGACAAAUGCCCUGCUUCCAGGAAAA
Molecule: ribosomal RNA, 1193 nt
Filed under: Escherichia coli
Lineage: Bacteria; Pseudomonadati; Pseudomonadota; Gammaproteobacteria; Enterobacterales; Enterobacteriaceae
Description: partial 23S ribosomal RNA
Rfam family: Bacterial large subunit ribosomal RNA
Source: RNAcentral